AUAAGAGGUCCAGCCUGCCCAGUGACUAAUGUUCAACGGCCGCGGUAUCCUAACCGUGCGAAGGUAGCGUAAUCACUUGUUCUUUAAAUGUGGACUAGUAUGAACGGCACCACGAGGGUUAUACUGUCUCCCUUCUCCAAUCAGUGAAACUAAUCUCCCCGUGAAGAAGCGGGGAUAUACUUAUAAGACGAGAAGACCCUAUGGAGCUUUAAAGUUAUCUUCAAACGCCAAACCUCUUCCAAGUCAUAGACUCCUUCACGAAACCACGCGCCAUGAAGACAACUUUUAGGUUGGGGUGACCAUGGAGUAUAAAACAACCUCCACGCUGAACAGGCCUCUAAACCUUUAGCCAAGGGCCACAGCCCGCCGCACUAAAAAAUUAACACACAUUGAUCCAAUGAAUUUUGAUCAACGAACCAAGUUACCCUAGGGAUAACAGCGCAAUCUACUUCAAGAGUUCCUAUCGACAAGUGGGUUUACGACCUCGAUGUUGGAUCAGGGUGUCCCAGUGGUGCAGCCGCUACUAAUGGUUCGUUUGUUCAACGAUUAAAACCCUACGUGA
This 562-nucleotide ribosomal RNA is filed under the name Scinax nasicus A. RNAcentral's name for it is "partial 16S ribosomal RNA". It matches the Rfam family "Bacterial large subunit ribosomal RNA", at positions 1845 to 2603 of the family's 2925-position model. The record is from RNAcentral. Lineage: Eukaryota; Metazoa; Chordata; Amphibia; Anura; Hylidae.